GACGAACGCUGGCGGCGUGCCUAAUACAUGCAAGCUGAGCGCUGAAGGCUGGUACUUUUACCUACUGGAUGAGCAGCGAACGGGUGAGUAACGCGUGGGUAAUCUGCCUUCGAGCGGGGGACAACUUAUGGAAACGAAUGCGAAUACCUCAUAAAAACUUUAAUCACAAGUUUUAAGACUGAAAUAUGCAAUUGCAUCACUCAAAGAUGAUCCCGCGUUGUAUUAGCUAGUUGGUGAGGUAAAGGCACACCAAGGCGAUGAUACAUAGCCGACCUGAGAGGGUGAUCGACCACAUUGGGACUGGGACUCGGCCCAAGCCCCUACGGGAGGCAGCAGUAGGGAAUCUUCGGAGAUGGACGAGAGUCUGACCGAGAAACGCCGAGUGAGUGAAGAAGGUGAUCGGAUCGUGAGACUCUGUUGGUAGAGAAGAGCGUUGGUGAGAGUGGAAAGCUCAUCCAGUGACGGUAACUAAUCAGAAAGGGACGGCUAACUACGUG
Molecule: ribosomal RNA, 497 nt
Filed under: uncultured bacterium
Lineage: Bacteria
Description: partial 16S ribosomal RNA
Rfam family: Bacterial small subunit ribosomal RNA
Source: RNAcentral